GGAGACGUGGCUGAGUUGGUCGAAAGCACCUCGCUGCUAAUGAGGCAGGCCCGUAAGGGUCUCCAGGGUUCGAAUCCCUGCGUCUCCG
This 88-nucleotide transfer RNA is filed under the name bacterium. RNAcentral's name for it is "tRNA-Ser". It matches the Rfam family "tRNA". Rfam says of the family: Transfer RNA (tRNA) molecules are approximately 80 nucleotides in length. The record is from RNAcentral.